UAGGGAAUAUUGCACAAUGGGCGAAAGCCUGAUGCAGCAACGCCGCGUGCGCUAUGACGGCCUUCGGGUUGUAAAGCGCUUUUCGUGGUGUUGUGGAAUUACAGUAUCCCCGUAAUAAUUCUCGGCUAACUACGUUCCAGCAGCCGCGGUAACACGUAUGAUCCAAGCGUUAUCCGUAUUCACUGGGCGUAAAGCUCGUGUAGGCGGCUUGGUAAGUUGGAUGUGAAAGCUCCUG
Molecule: ribosomal RNA, 235 nt
Filed under: uncultured bacterium
Lineage: Bacteria
Description: partial 16S ribosomal RNA
Rfam family: Bacterial small subunit ribosomal RNA
Source: RNAcentral